This 493-nucleotide ribosomal RNA is filed under the name uncultured bacterium. RNAcentral describes it as "partial 16S ribosomal RNA". It matches the Rfam family "Bacterial small subunit ribosomal RNA", at positions 30 to 523 of the family's 1533-position model. The record is from RNAcentral.
AUUGAACGCUGGCGGCAUGCCUUACACAUGCAAGUCGAACGGUAACAGGUUAAGCUGACGAGUGGCGAACGGGUGAGUAAUAUAUCGGAACGUGCCCAGUCGUGGGGGAUAACGUAGCGAAAGCUACGCUAAUACCGCAUACGAUCUACGGACGAAAGCGGGGGAUCGCAAGACCUCGCGCGAUUGGAGCGGCCGAUAUCAGAUUAGGUUGUUGGUGCGGUAAAAGCUCACCAAGCCUGCGAUCUGUAGCUGGUCUGAGAGGACGACCAGCCACACGGGAACUGAGACACGGUCCAGACUCCUACGGGAGGCAGCAGUGGUGAAUUUUGGACAAUGGACGCAAGUCUGAUCCAGCAAUGCCGCGUGCAGGACGAAGGCCUUCGGGUUGUAAACUGCUUUUGUACGGAACGAAACGGUGAGCUCUAAUACAGUUUGCUAAUGACGGUACCGUAAGAAUAAGCACCGGCUAACUACGUGCCAGCAGCCGCCGUAA